Molecule: non-coding RNA, 148 nt
Organism: Caenorhabditis elegans
Lineage: Eukaryota; Metazoa; Nematoda; Chromadorea; Rhabditida; Rhabditidae
Source: Ensembl
AGCUACAAUAACAUUUUUUUUAAAGAACUGCAAAAAGGAGUUGCCUGCUGCUGGAAUCGAACCAGCGUCGCCACGGCCACAACGUGGAGUACUAACCACUAUACUAAGCAGGCCGAAAGAGAGCGUACUCGCUGGGUUUUAUCUGCCG